Manacus vitellinus (golden-collared manakin) is the source of this 1042-nucleotide long non-coding RNA. RefSeq lists it as uncharacterized. NCBI's taxonomy places the organism in Eukaryota, Metazoa, Chordata, Aves, Passeriformes, Pipridae. The transcript is spliced from 4 exons. The record is from RefSeq and is a predicted model, not a curated record.
GGGGCGCUCAGGGUGCAUCAUUCCUGGAAGGGAUGAAGGAGUAUUGGGGAGUAUUUCUAGGAGGCGGGCUGGGUGGUCCUUGGGGCGCUGCCGAAAGCGCAGUGCUGUGAUACACUGCAGGUCGCAGUACAGCGACGUUCACAAAAAAAGCCUGUCAAGACUGAUUUAAAGGUUGUGCCCAGGAACAGCUGCCUGUGUUUUCCUGGGAUCCACCAACACAAGCAAGCAUGGACAUGGACUAGUGCAUGGACAGGACAAGAUGCAGAAUUGUCUUGGCUAAUUUCCUGGGCAAACAGACUGUGCAUCUUUAUGCAGAAGGAAACAGAGGGAAGUGAGAACUGUGAAGGACUGCUGCCUCAGAGCUGCUGUUACCAUAGAGCUGCUAACGAGGAAAAAACUGCAGCAUGGAUUUCUUGUGCUGUUGAAGCCAACUGGUCUGUUAUGGCUCCUGUGAUAAGUGCAUCCAGUGGAAAGUGGAGAGGCAUCCACCAAAUUCAGACAGUGCUUCUAAUAAAUAUAUUUUUGCUCUUCACUUUUAAAACCAAUAUAAUUCUUUGGCAUAUCUCUGGAUUCUGCAGAGAAUUCUGAUUCUCUGUGGCUCAGUUUGAACUGAAACAGUAAGGUAAGUAAUUUAAUGCCUGAUCUUCAACCCACAGAUCAGCACUUUUCUCUUCAUGGCAGAAGAGAAAAGAAUCUCUGUCAAGUUUCAAAUCCCUGUUACUCCAUAUUAGUAGGAGUUACUUCUUUGGAGCUUAUGGUUGAGUCUUCACUGAGUAGCAGACUGAAACCAGUGCAGGAACAGCAGUACUACCAGUACUGCAGAAAGAUACCUUACCCAAUUAGGAAAACCUUCCCUCUUUCCUUCUUGAAGCAGCCUCCCUCUUCUUUUAGAAUGCAGUAGAAACAUUUUGUUAUUAAUUACAUUUUACCAAAUGAACUUCACUUAAAGCUUGAUUAAAACUGUGGAAGCUGAAUUAUACUAAUGUAGUGUUGUAAACACAGCAGCAUUAGGAGUUGUGUGUGAGUAGCUGGUUAUAGAAUU